AUGCCGUGGAUAACCCCGCCUGGCCUGAGCACCGCGUCUGGGCGCGUGAUGGCGGCGUGCGCGACGCCAUUGGUGCCCAUGGCGAGCUCGAUCUCCUCACCGGAGAGGGUGAGGUGGUGGGCCGCGGGCCAUGACCCCGCGGGGUGGCGGGAGGGGAGGACCAAUGCCACCAGCACCGAGUUGGAUUUGACCCCCACCCCGGCGACCGCAGCUGCCCCAGUGUCGGUUGACGCGGCGAAGGGGAGUUGUGGAGGGCAAUGUGGGUUCCUACGGCGCCGUCUUGGCGGCCACCGCGCCGGCCAGGAAAAAGCAAUCAGCCCCCACCCCUCGGGCAGAGGCGCGCUGGGCGUCGGGUUCAUGGCCUCCGCCGCGCUGCUUGGCCGGCGACGCUGGAGCGACGCGCUGGGCGGAGGGCCGGCGACCUCGCCGCAGCCGACAAGCACGCCUGCGACCACCGCUACCCCGCCAUCCUCCUCCCAUUUUCUCUCCUUCUCCUCUGGGACGACCCGCACCUCGCCCCUACCUAGCCCAGCCGUUGGCAGCCACGGCCAUGUCGACGGCGUCGGAAUCCGCGACGGCCUAUAUCCCCUGCUUCUCUCCAAGCACGGUCGAGGCCAUGGCCGAGCAACCGCCCGGCUCCAACCGCACGACGGCGCACGGGCCCGACCCGACCGGCACUGUCGAGGAGCUCUUCGCAGGGACCUCCUCCACUGCGUGGCCGUCUGCGCCGACGAGGUCGGCCUCGCCGGGGAACGCCUCCUCCUCUCCUCUCUCUGCGCGCGUCACGGGCGCGAGGGCCUGCCCAGCCACUUCGAGGCCGGCCGCCGCGCCGAGUUCCACCCGGAGUACAUGGGUGCCGGUGCAGGAGGCAUGGUCGUUGGCUUCGCUAUCGCUCCCGGAUUCCGGCUGAGCAACGCCGGCGUGAUCGACAUCGAUAUGGCCGGAGGAACAGCAUGGAAAGAAUGGGGUAUCGCAACAUGGAAAGAAUGGGGUAUCCAGGCGUUGGUGCUGCUCAGCUUGACGCUCCAGGUGGCGCUGCUCACGCUGGCGGAAUUCCGGCGGCGCGUUGACUCCGGCGCGGUAAGGUUCUUGGCUUGGUCGGCGUACAUGCUGGCCGACGGCACGGCCAUCUACGUGCUGGGCCACCUGUCCGCCGCCAGCCGGUCUCUCGACCACGAGCUUAUGGCCUUCUGGGCGCCGUUCCUGCUGCUCCAUCUGGGCGGGCAGGACAACAUCACCGCCUACGCCGUCGAGGACAACCGGCUCUGGCUGCGGCACUUGCAGACGCUUGCCGUGCAGGUGACCGCCGCCGGCUACGUCCUCUUCUACACCUCCGUUGUCGUUGGUGGCUCGGCCUUGCUCCGGUGGGCCGGCAUCCUCAUGUUUGUGGUGGGUGUCGUCAAGUACGCGGAGAGGGUCUGGGCUCUCCGGUGCGCUGGCAGCAACCCGGUGGGGAAGAACUACCAAGCUUUACAGCAUUCGGCCUUCGUUUUCUCACGCAACAAUCUGGAAGACAUACUAGACAAGCGUCCAUGGGACACUGAAGACUGCCUACUGAUGGCUCACCGAACGCUUGGGGUUCCCAAGGAAAUGAUCAAGGGGCUGAUCAACGAAGCAGGAUACGGACAUGCUUCGUAUCUCCGGGAGGAGGGCCGUUUGUACAAGGUGGUUGAGAUGCAGCUGUCCCUGAUGCACGAUGUCCUGUACACCAAGGCUGAGGUGAUGCACACUUGGUACGGCCUCUGCAUCCGUAUGCUCUCGCCGGGCGCUCUCCAACUACAUGCUCUACCUCCUCGCCUCACGCCCCUACAUGCUCGGUCCCACUGCCAACCACAAUUCCUACAUCGAGGAUGCGAGCUUGGUGCCAAGAUCGUCGUCAGCAAGGAGGUCCAAGAUGACGCAAUGGGCACGCUGGAGCUGCUCGCCCAGGUGUGGGUGGAGACGCUAUGCUACGCGGGCCAGCGGUGCAGUGCACUUUUUCAUGCCAAGCAGCUCAGCGACGGCGGUGAGCUCAUCACCGUCGCUGCCAUUCUAGUGGAGUACUUCAAACGAGGAAAAAUAGAAACAAAAGAACAGGAAGAGGCGGGGACGAGGUUCAUGGAGGAAGGACCUUUUGAUAUCCGUUGA
Molecule: ribosomal RNA, 2127 nt
Filed under: Triticum aestivum (bread wheat)
Lineage: Eukaryota; Viridiplantae; Streptophyta; Magnoliopsida; Poales; Poaceae
Description: partial small subunit ribosomal RNA
Source: RNAcentral